Molecule: small RNA, 348 nt
Filed under: Histoplasma capsulatum
Lineage: Eukaryota; Fungi; Ascomycota; Eurotiomycetes; Onygenales; Ajellomycetaceae
Also listed under: 1 other name
Description: hypothetical RNA
Source: RNAcentral
UUGAGGGAGGGCUGUUGUACGCGGUACCGCAGUACGCAGUAUUUCUCUCCACAGGGCUGUACUCGCGAUGCAGAACCCGUUCUUUUGCGACAUACGCUGGAAAAAAUACAAUAUAAUAUCAUCACUUAAAGGGCACACUCCAUUGAUUGGUUGAAGGCUUCCCGAGGCCCUGUGUUGCGUGAAAAGUACGCUGUAGUAUGAUUAUUAUUCUUCGUCCUUAAUCCGUUGACCCAUGGCCAAAAAGCACGGCCCAAGAAUGAAUGACUUCUCCUGCGCCGCCGCCGCCUCCAAAAGGUUGACGAACUUACCAGACGCUCAUGAUCCGCGUAUCGGGAACAACGAAAAGCG